RNAcentral lists this long non-coding RNA (294 nucleotides) under Mustela putorius furo (domestic ferret). Its description in RNAcentral is "lncRNA (ENSMPUG00000030739.1)". Lineage: Eukaryota; Metazoa; Chordata; Mammalia; Carnivora; Mustelidae. The record is from RNAcentral.
CUCUCUCUCUCAGAUAAAUAUAUAAAAUUUUCAGGAGAAAAAAAAAAAAAAGAACAUUGGAUUUCAAAAGGUCUUCCCUUUCUGUAAGCACCUGGGUAAGCGGAAUGGCUCUGAAGUCCAGAGCUGUGACAGCUCGGAUGGCAGAGCCACAGAAGGGCUCUGUGAAAGCUCCAGAAGAAGGGCUCCAGAAGAGGAGGCUGGGUCCCCAUGCUGAUCUCUACUCCGUUCCUCACGUGGAAAGAUAUCCCAGGUACAUUUACUCUUUCUUGCAAAAAAAUAAAAUUUUAAUUUAGC